CCCUCGCAGGGCAGCCCCGCCUGCUCGUUGUGGACAGGCAUUGAGGCGGGCAGCCUCGUGGGGUCCUUCAGGAGGCAACAUGGACGACGAGGAGGAGACGUACCGGCUGUGGAAGAUCCGCAAGACCAUCAUGCAGCUGUGCCAUGACCGCGGUUACCUGGUGACUCAGGACGAGUUGGAUCAGACGUUGGAGGAGUUUAAAGCUCAGUUCGGGGAUAAACCCAGCGAAGGCCGCCCGCGCCGAACGGACCUGACCGUGUUGGUGGCACAUAACGAUGAUCCCACGGACCAGAUGUUCGUGUUCUUCCCCGAGGAACCCAAAGUCGGCAUUAAAACCAUCAAGAUGUAUUGCCAGCGCAUGCAGGAGGAGAACAUCACGCGGGCUCUGAUCGUGGUGCAGCAGGGAAUGACCCCAUCGGCAAAGCAGUCCUUGGUCGAUAUGGCUCCCAAAUACAUCCUGGAGCAGUUCUUACAGCAGGAGCUCCUGAUCAACAUCACAGAACACGAGCUGGUCCCAGAGCACGUUGUCAUGACAAAAGAAGAAGUAACCGAGCUGCUGGCCAGAUAUAAGCUGAGGGAGAACCAACUCCCCAGGAUCCAGGCUGGGGAUCCUGUGGCCCGAUACUUCGGGAUAAAGCGAGGCCAGGUAAGAGCAAAUAGCCUGAUAACAAACAGCAGGGCCCUGCAGGCAGGAUGGGGAGCUGCAGCACAGUGUGUCAGAGCUUGGAGAUGGGAAAGGUUUCCUCUUUGUUAGUGUUUUUGUUUCUGAACGUUAUGGGUUAUGUAGAGAUGUGUGCAAGGCAGCAGAUAGCCCUGGGGCCAGGCUUGGCUUCCUGCUGAACCAGCUGCUGUAACACCAGCCAUCCCCCAUUGCUCCUUUUGCUGCCCUUCCAGGUGGUGAAGAUCAUAAGACCGAGUGAGACCGCAGGCCGUUACAUCACCUACAGGCUGGUGCAGUGAUCAGAGCUCUCAGUUGUGAAAGAAUUCUGUGACAUCUGAUCUUCCCACCCACCACCAGCUCUCAGCUGUCUGCAUUCGAUGGCUGAGGAAGUUCUCUGUCCCUGCUGCCCCCCUGCAGUUGUUUUCCUUGUCCCAGUUCCUCAUUUCCCAGCACGGAUUUUGCUGCAAAUCCUUCUGCUUCAAUCAGGAACGCCAUGAAAACACCUCGAAGCAACUGAAUGACACAGGGAAGAAAUGAGCAGGAAGAGGCUUUUGCUGCCCUGUUCUCUCAGAUCUUAUUUUUAAUAAAGGUUUGUAUUCUUUGCUGUU
Molecule: non-coding RNA, 1269 nt
Organism: Coturnix japonica (Japanese quail)
Lineage: Eukaryota; Metazoa; Chordata; Aves; Galliformes; Phasianidae
Source: RefSeq, a predicted model, not a curated record